UGGGUCCCCUCACAGCACCCACGGCCCCUGCUGCUUGCCAGAACACUUUUGGCUGCUUGUAGUGCAAAUAUUUUAGGAAUUGAGUUUGAUCCUUGGACCACCAGAGACCCUGGCAUCUGGGCUGCAUUUUUUUUCCACAGAGCUGUAGGGAAAGCAGGACAGGAAUGUUCCCAUGAGGGGGAAUCAAUGUCUGCCGGGCUGGGUCAGUGGUUCUAAACUGGUGUGAUUCUGCCCUGAAUGAAGUGUCACUGUGCUUUCCCACCUGUGUGGAUGGAACAGAACAUGAGCAGUUGGAGGUUUAGGGUCAGUCAGAAAAAUAAAAUGUGAAUUGUUUGUAAUUUCCUGUGGAAAAGCUUCAGACAUCUAACCUCAAGACAGAAGAAAAUGCAUUGUGUGUUAAUCAGGCAGAACAAGGGGAAUAGGAAAAUGGGAGCCUGGAUGCAAACACUUCACAAAUCUCAGUGAUCUGCCACUGUGACACCAGCGUUUCAAGGUGCUCCCAGGGAACACACAAGAAGAGGAGGCUGGUAAAUCAACAAGAACAAAAGUCCCAGGCUUUCUUCAGCCUGACUGGAGAGCAGCAGUGACAGUGAUGAGUCAGUGGACAGUGCUGGCCCCUCUCCAGCCUUUCCCUCAGCCCCAGGUGCUGGUGGUGUUUGCACUCAGCAGUUUUGCCGGCUGCAGGAGCUUUGGAAGGUGUUUUCAUGGACUGCUAAGGUGGGCUUGGAAGGGAAACUCAAUGCACUGUUUAUCUAUGACCAUGAACCUUUC
This is a long non-coding RNA of Vidua macroura (Pin-tailed whydah), 771 nucleotides long. RefSeq lists it as uncharacterized. The transcript is spliced from 4 exons. Lineage: Eukaryota; Metazoa; Chordata; Aves; Passeriformes; Viduidae. The record is from RefSeq and is a predicted model, not a curated record.